RNAcentral lists this long non-coding RNA (230 nucleotides) under Homo sapiens (human). RNAcentral describes it as "HSALNT0195528". The record is from RNAcentral. Lineage: Eukaryota; Metazoa; Chordata; Mammalia; Primates; Hominidae.
CGUGGGUUGCAAAGUGAGUAAUGGCUGCAUCUGGGAGCUGAUCAAAGGUGGCCAGCCAAGUUGAGUAGCCAGUUCGGUGUAUGAGACUUAACAACACUGGUUUCCCCGGCCAUGGAAGGAGUCUUGAGCAGAGUGUGAGAAUGGCCAGGUGGCGGAAGUGUCUGAGAAGAUCCUGCAUCGAUCCAGGUGUGAGCGCUGAACCCCUGUCCACCUAGCAAAGGUCACAUGAU